GUAUUGCCAAUGUCCCCUUGUGGAGCAAAACUGCUGAGCACCACUGGUCCAUGGGUGACGUGCUCGAAGCCCUGAUGCAGGUGGUGCAGCUGGGAUGCCAAUGGCUGAAGUCCAACCUAUUUGGGGCAGCUUCAGAGGCUUUCCUGGUCAAAUGGGGCAUUUGGAGAAAUUCUCAUCAUAAUUCAGCAAGUACUCAGGACACACCCAUAGUGUAAGCCGCACUGGCUCCUGCUUGUGCCUCUCACACUCAUCUGGAACAACAGGAGCCCUGGGCAGGAGCAUAGGAAGAGGGGACAAGAAUGCCCUUGCUUCUCUUCCUCAUUGUCUCUCUUCUCCUGCCCCAUGGCGACUCUACCCCCAUCUUGAGGUCUCCUAAAACUCCUGUGUCCCCCAUUACCCUUCUCCCAAGCCCCCGUCUACCCUUUGUCCUGCCCCCAAGUCUGAUCCAUCAUGUGCCUCUAUCCCUCGUCUCCGGCAGCCCUGCUUCCCAGCUACAAGCUUCUCAUUGCCUGAAGUGACCCGAGGCUGACCCAGCGCCCGCUAACCUGGCACAGGAGAACCCCUCAUUUUGGGAGCCAGGAUGUGCAGAGUCUGAGGACACCUUAGAAGUCAUCCAGGGCCACCUCCCACCAAGGACAGGAGCCCCAGGAUGCCUGACCCACUGGCUGCUGCCCAGGUUCAUCUUCUACCCCUAAAUGCUGCACGCCCGGCUGGCUCCCUCCCCUUGGUGCUGGAUCCUACGUGGUCUAGUUGUUUCCUGGGGUAUGGUUCCUCUCUCCACAGACUAGAAGCUCCUAGAGGCAGAGGCUGCAGCUUCCACGUCCCUGGGCCUGGCCUGGAGCUCAGGAGUGCUGAACCGUAGAUGGAACCCAGGGGAUUGCUCUCAAUGGGGCUUCGUUAUAUCUCCCGCACCCCAUUAUCCCACUGCUCUAAUUUCCACCCCACGCUCCAAAAGGAUCUUCUCAAAAUCCAGGGCCUGGGAUCCUCUCAUAGUGGUGGUCUUCCAGGAAAAAACCAUUUUGUCAUCACUCUCUGGUCUCAUCUCCCUCUAAGCACCACCUGCCUCAAAACUUGUCCAAGUCCCCGUGACUAACUGAAUAAAAUCCAAACUGAUCGCCCUGGCUGUCAGGACACGCUCUGUCUGGCCCCUCCGUCAUUUCCAG
This 1163-nucleotide long non-coding RNA is filed under the name Equus caballus (horse). Its description in RNAcentral is "lncRNA (ENSECAG00000056763.1)". Lineage: Eukaryota; Metazoa; Chordata; Mammalia; Perissodactyla; Equidae. The record is from RNAcentral.